This 393-nucleotide ribosomal RNA is filed under the name Escherichia coli. RNAcentral's name for it is "bacterial SSU rRNA". It matches the Rfam family "Bacterial small subunit ribosomal RNA", at positions 1 to 390 of the family's 1533-position model. RNAcentral also lists the same sequence under 1 other name. The record is from RNAcentral. Lineage: Bacteria; Pseudomonadati; Pseudomonadota; Gammaproteobacteria; Enterobacterales; Enterobacteriaceae.
AAAUUGAAGAGUUUGAUCAUGGCUCAGAUUGAACGCUGGCGGCAGGCCUAACACAUGCAAGUCGAACGGUAACAGGAAGCAGCUUGCUGCUUCGCUGACGAGUGGCGGACGGGUGAGUAAUGUCUGGGAAACUGCCUGAUGGAGGGGGAUAACUACUGGAAACGGUAGCUAAUACCGCAUAAUGUCGCAAGACCAAAGAGGGGGACCUUCGGGCCUCUUGCCAUCGGAUGUGCCCAGAUGGGAUUAGCUUGUUGGUGGGGUAACGGCUCACCAAGGCGACGAUCCCUAGCUGGUCUGAGAGGAUGACCAGCCACACUGGAACUGAGACACGGUCCAGACUCCUACGGGAGGCAGCAGUGGGGAAUAUUGCACAAUGGGCGCAAGCCUGAUGCA